Long non-coding RNA from Zingiber officinale, 481 nucleotides. RefSeq lists it as uncharacterized. The record is from RefSeq and is a predicted model, not a curated record. The transcript has 2 exons. NCBI's taxonomy places the organism in Eukaryota, Viridiplantae, Streptophyta, Magnoliopsida, Zingiberales, Zingiberaceae.
CUUCAGAGGCAAUUUAUGGGUUUUAUUCUACAAUCAUGUUUACUAAUUGAUCAGAUUGAUUAAGAAGGGUGUUGGAGUAGCUUGGUAAAUUUGUUUUGCUAGGUUAUGAUAAAUUAGCAUUCAGCAGAAUAGAUGUUUGGAUUUCUUCUUCAAAUCACACAGUAAUAUUUCUCUUGUCAUUGGUGAAACAAUCAAUCCACUCUCAUUAUAACUUCCACAACAGAAAAUUUUAUGUUAUUUGCCUACUACCAAUGCAGUUUAACUGAUUUUACAUUGACUGAACAAGGUUGAUUUUAUUUAGGUCUAGUGAAAAUACUGAAGAAGUAUGACAAGAGAACAGGAGCACUUAUCAGGCAGCCCUUCAUCGAAAAGGUGCUGCAGCAGCCAUUCUUUACAACUGAUCUCCUAUACAAACUCGUGAAGGAGUGUGUGGCUAUGCUCGACCACUUCUUCCCCAGCAACAACCUGUCAAUUUCAGCAG